CUACGGGUCGCUCCAGUGAGGAAUAUUGCACAAUGGAGGAAACUCUGAUGCAGCAACGCCGCGUGGAGGAUGACGCAUUUCGGUGUGUAAACUCCUUUUAUAUGUCAAGAAAAUGACGGUAGCAUAUGAAUAAGCACCGGCUAACUCCGUGCCAGCAGCCGCGGUAAUACGGAGGGUGCAAGCGUUACUCGGAAUCACUGGGCGUAAAGGACGCGUAGGCGGGUUGGAAAGUCAGGUGUGAAAUCCUACAGCUUAACUGUAGAACUGCACUUGAAACUUCUAAUCUAGAGUAUGGGAGGGGGAGAUGGAAUUAGUGGUGUAGGGGUAAAAUCCGUAGAUAUCACUAGGAAUACCUAAAGCGAAGGCGAUCUCCUGGAACAUUACUGACGCUAAGGCGUGAAAGCGUGGGGAGCAAACAGGAUUAGAUACCCCAGUAGUC
Molecule: ribosomal RNA, 439 nt
Filed under: uncultured bacterium
Lineage: Bacteria
Description: partial 16S ribosomal RNA
Rfam family: Bacterial small subunit ribosomal RNA
Source: RNAcentral